Nycticebus coucang (slow loris) is the source of this 1376-nucleotide long non-coding RNA. RefSeq lists it as uncharacterized. The transcript is spliced from 3 exons. Lineage: Eukaryota; Metazoa; Chordata; Mammalia; Primates; Lorisidae. The record is from RefSeq and is a predicted model, not a curated record.
GCUUGCUUGGGUCUAUGAUGACGACCUAAAUUGUCUGAAGAGAGGUGAUAAAUAAAAAAAUCAUACACCAGAGGAUUGAGCUGAGGCCCAGCCUAGGUGAGGCUUUUGCAAGAGGAAGCCGUGAUGUUGGGGCUCCUGAGCGGGCAGUCAUCUGCCAAGCUGGAGACACAGGGACCUUGGAGGGCCUCUCAGUGUGGGCGAAGCCCCAGGCAGGACUGGGCGCUCACAAGUGAGCACCCAAAGCUCACUGUGUGGGCUGGCUGUCAGGGGUCCGUUCCCCCAGGUACAGGCCACAUGGGCGGCUCCCUGAUGAGCUUGCGCACCCCCCCACACACACACCAUCGUGUAUUUCAGGGAGCCGUUCUGCCCAAGUUGGCCCUCCAGCAGGGAAGAUGGCAGGUGAAUGGUUGGCCUGGGGCUCAGCUAUGACCAGGAAAGCUGCCAUGGGGCGUGGUAGUGGCAGCUGGGGGUCAGUUGGAGGGGUGGGCGGAGCUUCAGCCUGAGGCCCUGUAAAUCUGGGGCCCAGACUCUCCCAGGCUGGUGUGAUGUGGAGACCUGAGGGAAAAGCCUGGACUCCACAGGACAGCAGCCCAGCUCAGGGACACAGGCUGUGUUUUCAUGGGGGUGGGGCACUCAGGUAGAGACCCAGUCUCCAGAACUCCCCACCUCAGGUCCAGAUAUCUGAUUGGGGCUGUGGGGAUGCACUUGGCUUCCUGGUUAGGGACCUCGUGGCCCGUGAAGUCACAGCAGUAGAUCUCACGCAACUCUGGCACUGCCACCCUGGCAUGCGUCUCGGCAACAUGGAGCAGCGAGGUGCCCUUGCUCAGUUGGCUGGCUGCAGGACACAGCCCUCCUGGUCUGGCCCAAGCCUAGUAAGCUAUCUGACAUAGGAUCAUCUACGACCCUGCCUGAGCGAGGAUCCCAAGGGGAACCGCGUCUGGUUGCGAGUGUGGAUCUGUCAUGGGGGUCCCCAAAGAGCAUGCCUGCGUGGGUCAGCCGCCACCCCACCCCAAGGGGUGCACGAAGCUUUGUGGACUGAACCCUGUCCUCCACCUCCCCCUGCAGAGAAAGGUCCCAGAGACAGAGGUCCCCUACCUUGGGCCUGCUGCUGCUGGGCAGUGGCUGUCAACCAAGAGCCCAGCAUGCUCUAGGUGGAAACUGCUAUCCCUCCUGGCCCACUGAGUCUCCUGGAUUUUGCUGUGGGAGCCAUUCUGCCCAGGUUGGCUGUCCAGCAGGGAAGAUAGCAGACGACGUCCCCGCAGACAGAUGUCCCAUUCCUUGGGCCUGGUGUCCUGGCCAGUGGCUCUCAACCAGGUGGCCAGCAUGCACUAAGUAGAAACUCAGCUCUCUCCUGGCCCUCCGGCCUCCUGCAUUGA